GCCUGAGACUGAGCCUAAGCCUAAGCCUAAGCCUAUGCCUAAGCCUAAGC
This is a non-coding RNA of Caenorhabditis elegans, 50 nucleotides long. The record is from Ensembl. NCBI's taxonomy places the organism in Eukaryota, Metazoa, Nematoda, Chromadorea, Rhabditida, Rhabditidae.